UCAGAGAGCUAUGUAGUUGCUUUUUAAAGAGGAAAGUCCGGGCUCUAUAGAAAUAAGGUGCUGGAUAACCUCCAGCAGGGGCAACCCUAGGGAAAGUGCCACAGAAAAUAUACCGCCAAUUUUUGGUAAGGGUGAAAUGGUGUGGUAAGAGCGCACCGUGUUCCUAGCAAUAGGGAUAGCUUGGUAAACCCCACCUGGAGCAAGACCAAAUAGUAGAAACAAUUAUUGAAUUUCUACAAAGUUUCUUGGGUAGGUCGC
This 258-nucleotide RNase P RNA is filed under the name Alphaproteobacteria bacterium TMED199. Its description in RNAcentral is "partial RNase P RNA component class A". It matches the Rfam family "Bacterial RNase P class A", at positions 1 to 279 of the family's 367-position model. Rfam says of the family: Ribonuclease P (RNase P) is a ubiquitous endoribonuclease, found in archaea, bacteria and eukarya as well as chloroplasts and mitochondria. Its best characterised activity is the generation of mature 5'-ends of tRNAs by cleaving the 5'-leader elements of precursor-tRNAs. The record is from RNAcentral. Lineage: Bacteria; Pseudomonadati; Pseudomonadota; Alphaproteobacteria.